This 482-nucleotide ribosomal RNA is filed under the name Pometon singularis. RNAcentral describes it as "16S ribosomal RNA". It matches the Rfam family "Bacterial large subunit ribosomal RNA", at positions 1844 to 2587 of the family's 2925-position model. The record is from RNAcentral. Lineage: Eukaryota; Metazoa; Arthropoda; Insecta; Coleoptera; Carabidae.
UUUAAGGUCUAACCUGCCCAAUGAGUAUUUAAAUAGCCGCAGUAUUUUGACUGUGCAAAGGUAGCAUAAUUAUUAGUUUUUUAAUUAAAAGCUUGUAUGAAUGGUUGGCCAAGAUAAAAUCUGUCUUUAAAUUAAUUAAUAUAGAAUUUAACUUUUAAGUUAAAAGGCUUAAAUUUAUAUAAAAGACGAGAAGACCCUAUAGAUCUUUAUUUAAUUUAAGUUUUUUAUAUUUUAAGAUUAUUUUUAUUUAAAAUUUAAUUAAAUUUUAUUGGGGUAAUAUAGAGAUUAAUAUAAUUCUUUUUAUUAAAAACAUUGAUUUAUGAAUUUAUGAUCCAGUAUUAUUGAUUAUAAGAUUAAGUUACCUUAGGGAUAACAGCGUAAUUUUUUUGGAGAGCUCAUAUCGAUAAAAAAGUUUGCGACCUCGAUGUUGGAUUAAAAUUUAUCUUUGGUGUAGAAGCUUGAGAUUUUGGUCUGUUCGACCA